CAGUAGCCGCGGUAAUACGGAGGGGGCUAGCGUUGUUCGGAAUUACUGGGCGUAAAGCGCACGUAGGCGGCUUGGUAAGUUAGAGGUGAAAGCCUGGAGCUCAACUCCAGAAUUGCCUUUAAGACUGCCGAGCUAGCAGGUGAGAGAGGUAAGUGGAAUUCCGAGUGUAGAGGUGAAAUUCGUAGAUAUUCGGAAGAACACCAGUGGCGAAGGCGGCUUACUGGCUCAUACUGGACGCUGAGGUGCGAAAGCGUGGGGAGCAAACAGGAUUAGAUACCCGAGUAGUCCCUGUCUCUUAUAU
This 301-nucleotide ribosomal RNA is filed under the name uncultured bacterium. Its description in RNAcentral is "partial 16S ribosomal RNA". It matches the Rfam family "Bacterial small subunit ribosomal RNA", at positions 509 to 809 of the family's 1533-position model. The record is from RNAcentral.